RNAcentral lists this ribosomal RNA (1403 nucleotides) under Escherichia coli. RNAcentral's name for it is "16S ribosomal RNA". It matches the Rfam family "Bacterial small subunit ribosomal RNA". The record is from RNAcentral. Lineage: Bacteria; Pseudomonadati; Pseudomonadota; Gammaproteobacteria; Enterobacterales; Enterobacteriaceae.
CGCUGGCGGCAGGCCUAACACAUGCAAGUCGUAACAAGGUAACCGUAAGCUUGCUGCUUUGCUGACGAGUGGCGGACGGGUGAGUAAUGUCUGGGAAACUGCCUGAUGGAGGGGGAUAACUACUGGAAACGGUAGCUAAUACCGCAUAACGUCGCAAGACCAAAGAGGGGGACCUUCGGGCCUCUUGCCAUCGGAUGUGCCCAGAUGGGAUUAGCUAGUAGGUGGGGUAAAGGCUCACCUAGGCGACGAUCCCUAGCUGGUCUGAGAGGAUGACCAGCCACACUGGAACUGAGACACGGUCCAGACUCCUACGGGAGGCAGCAGUGGGGAAUAUUGCACAAUGGGCGCAAGCCUGAUGCAGCCAUGCCGCGUGUAUGAAGAAGGCCUUCGGGUUGUAAAGUACUUUCAGCGGGGAGGAAGGGAGUAAAGUUAAUACCUUUGCUCAUUGACGUUACCCGCAGAAAAAGGACCGGCUAACUCCGUGCCAGCAGCCGCGGUAAUACGAAGGGUGCAAGCGUUAAUCGGAAUUACUGGGCGUAAAGCGCACGCAGGCGGUUUGUUAAGUCAGAUGUGAAAUCCCCGGGCUCAACCUGGGAACUGCAUCUGAUACUGGCAAGCUUGAGUCUCGUAGAGGGGGGUAGAAUUCCAGGUGUAGCGGUGAAAUGCGUAGAGAUCUGGAGGAAUACCGGUGGCGAAGGCGGCCCCCUGGACGAAGACUGACGCUCAGGUGCGAAAGCGUGGGGAGCAAACAGGAUUAGAUACCCUGGUAGUCCACGCCGUAAACGAUGUCGACUUGGAGGUUGUGCCCUUGAGGCGUGGCUUCCGGAGCUAACGCGUUAAGUCGACCGCCUGGGGAGUACGGCCGCAAGGUUAAAACUCAAAUGAAUUGACGGGGGCCCGCACAAGCGGUGGAGCAUGUGGUUUAAUUCGAUGCAACGCGAAGAACCUUACCUGGUCUUGACAUCCACAGAACCUUGUAGAGAUACGAGGGUGCCUUCGGGAACUGUGAGACAGGUGCUGCAUGGCUGUCGUCAGCUCGUGUUGUGAAAUGUUGGGUUAAGUCCCGCAACGAGCGCAACCCUUAUCCUUUGUUGCCAGCGGUCCGGCCGGGAACUCAAAGGAGACUGCCAGUGAUAAACUGGAGGAAGGUGGGGAUGACGUCAAGUCAUCAUGGCCCUUACGACCAGGGCUACACACGUGCUACAAUGGCGCAUACAAAGAGAAGCGACCUCGCGAGAGCAAGCGGACCUCAUAAAGUGCGUCGUAGUCCGGAUUGGAGUCUGCAACUCGACUCCAUGAAGUCGGAAUCGCUAGUAAUCGUGGAUCAGAAUGCCACGGUGAAUACGUUCCCGGGCCUUGUACACACCGCCCGUCACACCAUGGGAGUGGGUUGCAAAAGAAGU